GCGCUCACUUCGGUGGGAGCGGCGGACGGGUUAGUAACGCGUGGGAACGUACCCAGAUCUAAGGAAUAGCCACUGGAAACGGUGAGUAAUACCUUAUACGCCCUUCGGGGGAAAGAUUUAUCGGAUUUGGAUCGGCCCGCGUUAGAUUAGUUAGUUGGUGGGGUAAUGGCCUACCAAGACUACGAUCUAUAGCUGGUUUGAGAGGAUGAUCAGCAACACUGGGACUGAGACACGGCCCAGACUCCUACGGGAGGCAGCAGUGGGGAAUCUUAGACAAUGGGCGCAAGCCUGAUCUAGCCAUGCCGCGUGAGUGAUGAAGGCCUUAGGGUCGUAAAGCUCUUUCGCCUGUGAAGAUAAUGACGGUAGCAGGUAAAGAAACCCCGGCUAACUCCGUGCCAGCAGCCGCGGUAAUACGGAGGGGGUUAGCGUUGUUCGGAAUUACUGGGCGUAAAGCGCACGUAGGCGGAUUAGUCAGUCAGAGGUGAAAUCCCGGAGCUCAACUCCGGAACUGCCUUUGAUACUGCUAGUCUUGAGUUCGAGAGAGGUGAGUGGAAUUCCGAGUGUAGAGGUGAAAUUCGUAGAUAUUCGGAGGAACACCAGUGGCGA
Molecule: ribosomal RNA, 606 nt
Filed under: Phaeobacter italicus
Lineage: Bacteria; Pseudomonadati; Pseudomonadota; Alphaproteobacteria; Rhodobacterales; Roseobacteraceae
Description: bacterial SSU rRNA
Rfam family: Bacterial small subunit ribosomal RNA
Source: RNAcentral